Molecule: long non-coding RNA, 217 nt
Filed under: Vigna radiata
Lineage: Eukaryota; Viridiplantae; Streptophyta; Magnoliopsida; Fabales; Fabaceae
Description: long non-coding RNA (VRAD_LNC011973)
Source: RNAcentral
UGAGGUGUUAUUUUUUUUACGUGGCUUAAAAAAUUGGGAUUUUUGACGUAUCGAACAUACACCGAAAUGAGAAGGAUCUGGAGUCUGUAUAGGUAUGAGACUAACCCAUAAGAACUUCUGUAAGUUGCCGGGGCGUUACAAUGAUCUCCUUAUAUAAUAUAUACAUGUGAUCAAAUAUAAAGUUUCUGCUUUCUUCUUCUUUUACUUUCUACUAUCA